ACCUUCCUUCUCCAGAGACAACCACAUCAAGAAUCUGGAAUUAUGCUGAGGAUGAGUAGCAGGAUAGCGAGAUGAAAGGAAGAGAAAAGAUAACGAUAAUUAUAAUGCAACGCAAUAAGAGGUACAGUAGAGGCCAGAAAGGAAGUGCGUUUAAACAAGUGCAGAAUCCAUGUGAACACGGAGAAUGAGGUCAGCUUCGGAAGAUUCUCAGCAAAUCCUUUUGGCUCCACUGAAAGGAUCAGGGAUAGAACCCUAUCACAUCUUACCAGCUGUGUUGCUUCCAGACUCAUCCAAGUCACCAUCAUCUACCGCAGGUUUUGUUGUUGUUUGGUCGUUAAGUUGUGUCUGACUCUUUGUGACACAUGGACUGCGGCAGAGCCUUCAGUCUGUUCUCAGCCGAGUGAAGUGGAUGAUCGAUCUGUGUAUAUGCUAAGACAGGUCAUGUUGAGACAGCUCAGACCACCCCAGUGACUCUCAUUUCACUGGGUAAACGAUGAAGUCCUCGUGUGGCUGCCCAAGACCCUGAGUGCUCUGACGCUCUCCCCCAUCUCUCCUCCCCACCUUGACUUCCCCCCUGUCCACUCC
Bos taurus (domestic cattle) is the source of this 585-nucleotide long non-coding RNA. Lineage: Eukaryota; Metazoa; Chordata; Mammalia; Artiodactyla; Bovidae. The record is from Ensembl.